RNAcentral lists this ribosomal RNA (370 nucleotides) under uncultured soil foraminiferan. RNAcentral describes it as "partial small subunit ribosomal RNA". It matches the Rfam family "Eukaryotic small subunit ribosomal RNA", at positions 1160 to 1430 of the family's 1831-position model. Lineage: Eukaryota; Foraminifera. The record is from RNAcentral.
AAGGGCACCACAAGAACGCGUGGAGCAUGUGGCUUAAUUUGACUCAACGCGGGAAAUCUUACCGGGUCCGGACAUACUGAGGAUUGACAGGUGUUUGUGUACUAUAGUACUUUUUUUUUUUUAAAAAAAAAGUAUUUUGUAUACUAUAAAUAUGCUAGUCCUUUCAUGAUUGUGUGAUAGGUGGUGCAUGGCCGUUCUUAGUUCGUGAAGUGAUUUGUCUGCUUAAUUGCGUUUCGUAAUAAAAGUGUUCUUCUGACUAUUAAGUCGUUAAUGAUUUUUUUUUUCUAAAAUUAAAAUUUUUUUUUUUUUUUUUAAAAAAAAAUCAUUCGCUUAUUUUGGUAGAAAACAUUUUGAAGGCAACGAACGUGAC